CCUACGGUGGGCAGCAGUGGGGAAUAUUGCACAAUGGGGGAAACCCUGAUGCAGCGACGCCGCGUGAAGGAAGAAGUAUUUCGGUAUGGAAACUUCUAUCAGCAGGGCAGACAAUGACGGUACCUGACUAAGAAGCCCCGGCUAACUACGUGCCAGCAGCCGCGGUAAUACGUAGGGGGCAAGCGUUAUCCGGAUGUACUGGGUGUAAAGGGAGCGUAGGCGGUUCAGCAAGUCAGAAGUGAAAGCCCGGGGCUCAACUCCGGGACUGCUUUUGAAACUGUUGAACGAGAUUGCAGCAGAGGUAAGUGGAAUUCCGAGGGUAGCGGUGAAAUGCGUAGAUAUUAGGAGGAACACCAGUGGCGAAGGCGGCUUACUGGACUGUAAAUGACGCUGAGGAUCGAAAGCGUGGGGAGCAAACAGGAUUAGAUACCCUGGUAGUC
This 440-nucleotide ribosomal RNA is filed under the name uncultured bacterium. Its description in RNAcentral is "partial 16S ribosomal RNA". It matches the Rfam family "Bacterial small subunit ribosomal RNA", at positions 338 to 795 of the family's 1533-position model. The record is from RNAcentral.